UACGUAGGGUGCGAGCGUUGUCCGGAAUCAUUGGGCGUAAAGAGCGUGUAGGCGGUCCGGUAAGUCCGCUGUGAAAGUCGGGGGCUCAACCCUCGAAUGCCGGUGGAUACUGUCGGGCUAGAGUACGGAAGAGGCGAGUGGAAUUCCUGGUGUAGCGGUGAAAUGCGCAGAUAUCAGGAGGAACACCUAUUGCGAAGGCAGCUCGCUGGGACGUAACUGACGCUGAGACGCGAAAGCGUGGGGAGCAAACAGG
RNAcentral lists this ribosomal RNA (253 nucleotides) under uncultured bacterium. RNAcentral describes it as "partial 16S ribosomal RNA". It matches the Rfam family "Bacterial small subunit ribosomal RNA", at positions 524 to 776 of the family's 1533-position model. The record is from RNAcentral.